Molecule: ribosomal RNA, 194 nt
Filed under: uncultured bacterium
Lineage: Bacteria
Description: partial 16S ribosomal RNA
Rfam family: Bacterial small subunit ribosomal RNA
Source: RNAcentral
CCUACGGGAGGCAGCAGUGGGGAAUAUUGGACAAUGGGCGAAAGCCUGAUCCAGCCAUGCCGCGUGUGUGAAGAAGGUCUUCGGAUUGUAAAGCACUUUAAGUUGGGAGGAAGGGUACUUACCUAAUACGUGAGUAUUUUGACGUUACCGACAGAAUAAGCACCGGCUAACUCUGUGCCAGCAGCCGCGGUAAU